GAUGAACGCUGGCGGCGUGCCUAAUACAUGCAAGUCGAGCGAACAGACGAGGAGCUUGCUCCUCUGACGUUAGCGGCGGACGGGUGAGUAACACGUGGAUAACCUACCUAUACGACUGGGAUAACUUCGGGAAACCGGAGCAAAUACCGGAUAAUAUAUUGAACCGCAUGGUUCAAUAGUGAAAGACGGUUUUGCUGUCACCUAUAGAUGGAUCCGCGCCGCAUUAGCUAGUUGGUAAGGUAACGGCUUACCAAGGCGACGAUGCGUAGCCGACCUGAGAGGAGGAUCCACCCAACUGGAACGAGAAAAGGCGCCAGGCUCGUAGGGAAGGCAGAGGUGGGGAAUGUACCGAAAAGGGCAAAAGCCUGCAGAGGCAUCGCACGGGGGGUGAUGAAGUACUCGGGGCCGAAAAAUAGGGUAAGAGGGAAAGACAAAAUGUGUAAGAACUAUGCACGUCUUGACGGUACCUAAUCAGAAAGCCACGGCUAACUACGUG
RNAcentral lists this ribosomal RNA (496 nucleotides) under uncultured bacterium. RNAcentral's name for it is "partial 16S ribosomal RNA". It matches the Rfam family "Bacterial small subunit ribosomal RNA", at positions 28 to 507 of the family's 1533-position model. The record is from RNAcentral.